AUGUGAGACAUUUGAUCUGAGACGUUUGAAUGAGAGUGUGCAGGCUGCUCUCACUCCGAAGAACUUUCCUGCCCAGAUGAUCCAGCUUCCCCAAAACUCCUGCACAUAUGACAGCAAAGUGUGCACAAGAAGAGAGCAAUUUCCCUUUUUGAUAAUGCUCUUAGUCUUCAUUGGUCCCUGUAGCAAAUGAUUGUGGUUCUUUACACACUUCCUGUCUUGCUGGAAUUCAUCCCAUAAGAGGCUGAAUAAUCGCUUGUAGAAUGUUUUUAAGGAAAAAUGUCUCCACCUGAUCACUGAGUUUCCAUGAGCUUCACAGCUCACUGAAUCUCAUAAAAGUUAUUUAAAUGUAUGAAAAUUGUACUUAUGCCCUGACUGUUGUGCAAGAUCUUUGUUCUAGCUAGUGUGUCCUCUGCAUUAUGGAUCGUCUUAUAACAAACUUGAUGUCAAAACAGAGAGACACACAUUGUUUAUUCUCAGCCAAGAAAUCAGCUAUAACACUACUCUUGAAGAAUCUCCAUGUGUGUAACCAGAAUUAAAUUCCUCAUAUUAAGUGGUGCGGGGCCUCUCUGAAACACUGCAGACCGUUAGAAUCAGGUGUUUGGAAGAGAUAAGAAAUGGCAGUUGCAAACCAUGCCUUCCUCACAGGUGCAGAGAUUUAGCAAGACUGAGGAGGCAAAUCCAGACCAACACGCACCACCAGGGCAGCCAGCUGUGGAGGAGGCGCAAGUGGCCACAGAUUCGCUGGGCGACACAGUCAACCCCUGAAAGUUGGUCUGACUUCAGAGUGGGCCCUGCUCCGCCACACAACAUUGGGCAAUGGCCUACAGAACUGCUUCUAAACCAAAGGGUUCCUGGAUUGCAGUGCUGUGCGAAAGAUUGCCACUGUUUUGCACUGCAGCUGCUCACUGGUGUAGAUCUACUGUAUUACUCACUCUUAAGUUCCACCACUGUAAAUACAGAACUGCUUUGUUCAAGUCCCUGAGGCUUGAUGAGCCUGCUUUUGACACAGCCUGGUAAGAGAAAUUGCGCUUAGCUAAUGAAUUGAUUGUAGAGGUAUAUUUUUUCAAGAACAUUCUCCUUGUUUAAUCUUUUUGUUUUGUUUUGUUUUGUUUUUUAAGUCAUUUCCAAGGGGACAAACUUAACUUAAAAGUGGGUUAACAUAUCAUAAGCAAGGUCACUUUUCUUUGUUCCCACAACCGCUCUGAUUAUAUGGUGAGAGGAGACAUAAGCUUGACCUAGUGGACAUUGCUGUGAACUUGCACUUUGGACUUCCCGGGAGUCCUUGAAUGGGCCACUCACCCGGUGCUGUACUUCAGUCUCCUGUCUGCAAAAUGCAGCUAAAGCUUCCCUGCUGGGCAGGGGCACUGUAAGUAAAGCCCUGUGAAGAUUGCAAGAUGCUUAAAAACAGCACCAGUGAUGGCCACAUAAGUGCCAAGAACAGAUAUGUAUCUACAUAUCCAGACAGCUGCAGACUUAUUGUGACUCAAUCAAGUUUAAACAUCUUAAGAUAAAAGCUGCUAUUUCAAGCUCCUUAGGCUCAAGGAAAUCCAUAAUAAAAACAAACCAUCAACAUAGAAAUAACUGGGA
RNAcentral lists this long non-coding RNA (1587 nucleotides) under Numida meleagris (helmeted guineafowl). RNAcentral's name for it is "lncRNA (ENSNMEG00000000222.1)". The record is from RNAcentral. Lineage: Eukaryota; Metazoa; Chordata; Aves; Galliformes; Numididae.